UCAUUGCACACACAUGAAUGUUGCAGUAAACCCCGGUUUAGGCGAACCAAAACAUUGUCCCCUCCAACUUGUCCCGGUCGGGCCUCUUCUUCUUCGGGAGCUCCUUUCCUUCCUUCGCGGGGGGGAGGGGGGCCGCGAACGGAGCAAGGGGUCCGCCCCCGGGAGUAACCACGUCGAUUGCGCAAUGCAUCAACACUUACUAUUGACUGAGUCCCGAAAUACUUUGUGGAGUUGGUGGUGUUCGCAUCGCCGACUCCCGAGUUGAAAUAACCAAAAACAACUCUCAGCAACGGAUAUCUUGGCUCUUGCAACGAUGAAGAACGCAGCGAAAUGCGAUACGUAGUGUGAAUUGCAGAAUUCCGCGAAUCAUCGAGUCUUUGAACGCAAGUUGCGCCCGAGGCUUGUCCGAGGGCAUUUCCGCUAGAGCGUCACCGCGCUCCCCCACCGACCCCCGCUACCAAGUGGUGAGGUCGAGUGGAAGUGGCCGUCCCGAUGGGAGGCGGCGGUGUUCUUCGCCGCCGUCGAUCGGGUCGGCUGAAAUGUAUGGAAUUCGGCCGUCGUGGCGACGGAGCCCGCGAUCAGGUGAUCCGAGCGAGAGCCCGGAACUCAAACGUGCGUGGCUGCGUCGCCCAGUUGGGUUGGGGAUGGAUAUACCACUAUGAAAGAGCUGGCGCGAGUUGGCUUCGGUAAUACGGGUACACCAUGCGAAACGAGUUCCACUUGGGAUGUGAAAGCAGGUCUGCGUGUUCGGAAGAAAUCCUUCGUAAAAAAAAGGUGAGGACACGCGCGUCACGCAUCAGA
This 801-nucleotide small RNA is filed under the name Bartramia mossmaniana. Its description in RNAcentral is "eukaryotic LSU rRNA". The stretch from base 279 to 431 matches the Rfam family "5.8S ribosomal RNA". The record is from RNAcentral. Lineage: Eukaryota; Viridiplantae; Streptophyta; Bryopsida; Bartramiales; Bartramiaceae.